This 377-nucleotide ribosomal RNA is filed under the name uncultured eukaryote. Its description in RNAcentral is "partial 18S ribosomal RNA". It matches the Rfam family "Eukaryotic small subunit ribosomal RNA", at positions 592 to 976 of the family's 1831-position model. The record is from RNAcentral.
CAAUAGCGUAUAUUUAAGUUGCUGCAGUUAAAAAGCUCGUAGUUGGAUUUCGGGUGGGAAUGGCCGGUCCGCCGUUUCGGUGUGCACUUGCUACGCCCACCUUGCUGCCGGGGACGUGCUCUUGAGUUCACGCUCGGGACACGGAGUCGGCGAGGUUACUUUGAGUAAAUUAGAGUGUUCAAAGCAGGCCUACGCUCUGAAUACAUUAGCAUGGAAUAACACGAUAGGACUCUGGCCUAUCUUGUUGGUCUGUAGGACCGGAGUAAUGAUUAAGAGGGACAGUCGGGGGCAUUCGUAUUUCAUUGUCAGAGGUGACAUUCUUGGAUUUAUGAAAGACGAACUACUGCGAAAGCAUUUGCCAAGGAUGUUUUCAUUAA